Molecule: unclassified non-coding RNA, 1709 nt
Filed under: Melitaea cinxia (Glanville fritillary)
Lineage: Eukaryota; Metazoa; Arthropoda; Insecta; Lepidoptera; Nymphalidae
Description: misc RNA ENSMCXG00005018355.1
Source: RNAcentral
AGUUUUCUUUUUUAUAUUCUAAUAAUUGUAACCCUGAGUUUGGACCAAGAAUUAUUUAAAAUAAUUGAUUUCCAAAGUUUAAACACUUCAAAACUUUUCAAAACAUUCAUAUUACUACUUUUAUUUUCUUAUCACCUCCUGCAAACAAUAACGUUCUUACCGAGACAAAGUAUUGUAUGUAUUUUACUAUGAAAAAAAAAAACUUAAAAAAAACCUGCUCUUUGAGACACGGGUGGGAGACGUUCUAUAAUACUUAAUUGAAAAUAAGUAAACUACGUAUUAGAUUUUGUAAUCAACGGAGUAAAAGACACAUAUAGAUGUCAUAGCCAUUUUUUUAUGCAAUGAAUAUUAAGAGAAUACAAUUUAUAUGACACAGAAUUUUGUGAAAUAACGAAAUGGACUAAAAACAGUAAUAGUUACAUACAUAACAAACAUGUUCAUAAUUAUCUGUUAAUCUUUCGUAAACACAUUUCUAAAGUACAAAGUUUUACGUUCAAAAUUCAUUUAUAAAACAUUAUAAUAUCAUGAUAAUUACAACUUAUAAUGACAUAAAUGCAAGUGAAGCCGAGGAAAACAGCUUAUUAAUACUAACUACAGAUAUUUAACAUUUUAUAUUAAUCCAACAACUAGAAUUUAGUAAAUAUUAACAAUUUCUAUGUCAAAUUGAAGUAUUGUAAAAGUUACACGACUUACAUGUACGUUUUUGAUUGAUAAGUUAAAAUGCCAGUUUCUUUAAUCAAAAAACAAUUCGUUUUUCUCACGAACCCUUUUCUCGCGUUUCGUUUCAAACACCAUAUAAAAAAUUGAGUGGUACGUAAUUUUUUAUAAACAUAGAAACUCUCUUUCGCUAAAGUCCAGUUUCAAUAUUCAAAAAACAAAUCGAACAUGUUUUGCGUGCGUGUGUGUGUGUGUGUGAGUGAGUGAGACAGAGUGAGCGGGCGCGCACGUGUGUGGGUGAGUGAGAUAGAGUGCGUGCGUGUGUGAGACAGAGUGCGUGCGUGCGUUGUGUGUGAGUGAGAUAGAGUGCGUGCGUGUGUGAGUGAGACAGAGUGCGUGCCUGCGUUGUGUGUGAGUGAGACAGAGUGCGCGUGUUAGCGCGCGCGCGCGCCUUUGUGUGUGUUUUUGGAUAAAGAAACCGGGCUCAAGAGCCUAAAAGAAUCAUCCAGCUAGUGAUUCAAACUUCACUUGAGAGGAUGAAGACUAGAUGUAGGAAUAUUAACAGACAGAAGAGCAAUAAAACACAAAAAAAUCAACGAAUUCUCUUCCCAAAAGUGAGGCAUUACAUUACAUUUAUUUAUUAUUGAAACAUUGAUGGAUAUGUAAUAAAUUUUUAUUAAUAUUUAUAAAUGUACAGAAUUUAUUUUAAAUAAAUAAAUAAAAUUCUUGCCGUUCUCUAGACUACACUGCUAUCUAAUUGUAGCUUCAAUAUCAUUUAGUAUACAUAUAUUUAUUUUGAGAUAUUAUGAAUAAAACGACUUAGUUUCUUAUCAAAUAUUUUCAGUUGACUCUUCUAACCGAUGGCAGCUUGACUUAGACCAAAAAAUAACGGUUCAAAAGACAUUAAUUUCAAUUCAAUAUAUAACACCUAAAGCUCAUUUAAGUAUGUAUAUAUAAGUAUGUAAUAUAUAUUUUUAAAACAAUAAUUGAAGUAAAAGUUCUUUACACACGCUUGACUUGGGGAGUUAGCUGGUGUAAGGACGUUUUACUUC